CUAGAUAUACACAAAACAUGACAGUCAAUUUUUUCGAGAGUUUGAUCCUGGCUCAGGAUGAACGCUGGCUGUGUGCCUAAUACAUGCAUGUCGAGCGAAGUUCUUUAGAACUUAGCGGCGAAUGGGUGAGUAACACGUACUUAACAUACCUCUUAGAUUGGGAUAACGGUGAGAAAUUAUCGCUAAUACCGGAUACUUAUAUAAGUCGCAUGACUUAUAUAUAAAAGGAGCCUUAAAGCUUCACUAAGAGAUUGGGGUGCGGAACAUUAGCUAGUUGGUAAGGUAAUGGCUUACCAAGGCAAUGAUGUUUAGCGGGGUUGAGAGACUGAUCCGCCACACUGGGACUGAGAUACGGCCCAGACUCCUACGGGAGGCAGCAGUAGGGAAUUUUCCACAAUGGACGAAAGUCUGAUGGAGCGACACAGCGUGCAGGAUGACGGCCUUCGGGUUGUAAACUGCUGUUAUAAGGGAAGAAAAAGCAUUAGAGGAAAUGCUAGUGCCUUGACGGUACCUUGUCAGAAAGCAACGGCUAACUAUGUGCCAGCAGCCGCGGUAAUACAUAGGUUGCAAGCGUUAUCCGGAAUUAUUGGGCGUAAAGCGUCUGUAGGUUGUAUGUUAAGUCUGGCGUGAAAACUUGGGGCUCAACCCCAAAUUGCGUUGGAUACUGGCAUGCUAGAAUUGUGUAGAGGUUAGCGGAAUUCCUAGUGAAGCGGUGAAAUGCGUAGAUAUUAGGAAGAACACCAAUUUGGCGAAGGCAGCUAACUGGGCACAUAUUGACACUGAGAGACGAAAGCGUGGGGAGCAAACAGGAUUAGAUACCCUGGUAGUCCACGCUGUAAACGAUGAUGAUUAGCUGAUAGAGAGGUCUAUCGGCGCAGCUAACGCAUUAAAUCAUCCGCCUGAGUAGUAUGCUCGCAAGAGUGAAACUUAAAGGAAUUGACGGGGAUCCGCACAAGCGGUGGAGCAUGUGGUUUAAUUUGAAGAUACGCGUAGAACCUUACCCACUCUUGACAUCUUCUGCAAAGCUAUAGAGAUAUAGUGGAGGUUAACAGAAUGACAGAUGGUGCAUGGUUGUCGUCAGCUCGUGUCGUGAGAUGUUCGGUUAAGUCCUGCAACGAGCGCAACCCUUGUCCUUAGUUAAUUUUCUAGGGAGACUGCCCGAGUAAUUGGGAGGAAGCUGGGGACGACGUCAAAUCAUCAUGCCUCUUACGAGUGGGGCAACACACGUGCUACAAUGGAUAGUACAAAGAGAAGCAACAUGGUGACAUCAAGCAAAUCUCAAAAAACUAUUCUCAGUUCGGAUUGUAGUCUGCAACUCGACUACAUGAAGUCGGAAUCGCUAGUAAUCGUAGAUCAGCUACGCUACGGUGAAUACGUUCUCGGGUCUUGUACACACCGCCCGUCACACCAUGGGAGCUGGUAAUGCCCGAAGUCGGUUUUGUUAACUACGGAGACAACUGCCUAAGGCAGGGCCGGUGACUGGGGUGAAGUCGUAACAAGGUAUCCCUACGAGAACGUGGGGAUGGAUUACCUCCUUUCUACGGAG
Molecule: ribosomal RNA, 1546 nt
Filed under: Mycoplasmopsis bovirhinis
Lineage: Bacteria; Bacillati; Mycoplasmatota; Mycoplasmoidales; Metamycoplasmataceae
Description: bacterial SSU rRNA
Rfam family: Bacterial small subunit ribosomal RNA
Source: RNAcentral